AAGAAUAUUGUUUAUAUGUAGAAGGUAAAGCCGGUUUUAUAACAUGGAACAGAAAGAAGGGUAAAGAGACAAGUUAGGAUAUUACAUAUCUCCAAAAAGGCAGUUGUGGGAGGCCAAUCUGCAAUAGAAAUUACAGCUAAGUACUAACCUCGACAAAGCAUUGAUAGGCAGGACAAUAGUGACUGAAACCUUCAAGUUUUAAGUUUUCGUCUGUUCAUCGGUAAUUGUUACCUUCUUAUCGAGUCGUAAACCCUGGUUCUGGACAAAGCUACUUCAUUUGUCAAUAUAGAUGAAUGUCUUUUUAGUUUUGUUCAUUUUCAACUAUAUAUUUAUAUUACAUGGAAGAUCCAAAGCAAGAAUGAUCCUUUCUUCUCUGAUACAACUAUAUAUUCUACUUCACCAAUCCCGCCUCAAGAAUGAAAGCAAAUGGAUUCUUAUACGGACUUCUUACCAAGUAGGAUAAUUUUUUCACAAAAUUUUCUUCAUAUGUAAGACUGCCCAAUUGAACUUAAGGGUCUUUAAUCCAUAAUCAGUAACCACAAUCGGACAUAGGAAUGCAAAAAGAAACAGACUCAUGCUCUCUGCCUCCUAGGCUAAAGGUUAUUAAAGAUCAAAGUUGACCGAGAGAUGAAAGUGUUUGUCUUGUGUUUCUUGAGAUCCGGUCAUGUAUCGGUUCCUAUAAACAAAGCUAUAGAUCAAUACGCUUGAAACUCCGAAGAGUCAGUUGAGAUUUUGGAACUGAUGAGGAUCAAACCUGAGUUGGAAUAAUGUCAGUUCUUGAUCCAGUAAUAGUUUCAUACAAGAAAAUGUACCUGCAAUCAUCACGGUUUCUUGCAUCAGUUUUUAAUACCAAGACUUCAAGCUAAAACUAACAUAGUCCAGCGAAUGUCUGAUUUCAUAUACACAGACAAUGUACCUUUCCAUAUCAAAAGCAUCUACUCGAACAAUCUUAUAAUAAAGUUUACAGAUCAAAAUACAUACCGCCAAGCUAAUUCAGUCACGAGUUCUGCAGGGGCAGCUGGCAGGAUCUGAAAAUUAUAGGCAAUCGAGACACCAAGAAUUUUAGCAAGGGUUCUCAGAUAAAUUAGGAAAAUAGAAAUUACAUUGGGAAGAUGUAAGCAUACCUCGUCCUCAUACGGAUUGCAGUUCUCUUUGAACCACAAUCUUAGAAACUCCUAUUGGAUUAAAAGAAACAGAACAUGUGAGUGAACAAAGUACUACAAACCAAUGCAACCUGACUGAGGGCAAGAAAAGUCAAAAUCACUAACCUUAUCAACAUUUUCAGGCUCCAGGCCUUUUUGAAAGCGCUCUUCAUAUGAACCUGCAAGCCAGUAUCUGCUGGAAUCGGGUGUAUGAAUCUAUUCACAAUGUGUACAAGUAGAUGAUGAUUCUAAUCAGUGAUUUUGGCAGCUGUGCAGAUAUGCGUUCAACUGUGCAUUCGAAGAGAGACAGACAAGGAAAAAAGAGAUAAGAUAACAUACCUCAUCAAUCAAUAAGAUUGAGCCAUCACUACUUCUUCCAAACUCAUACUUUGUGUCCACCAGUAUCAGUCCAUGAUGCUUGGCAACCCGCUGAAGCAAGCAUGAUAUAAUCAAAAUCCAUUAGACCCUUCCAACAAAGCAUAACAUUUGCAUGUUGAAGCCAGUAAAAUAUAUUAAAAACUGAUUUCUUGUGGUCUGCAAUUUAGAGAUUAUGAAAAUCACAAUAGUCAAUGACUUUAGACGGAGGAGUUGUAACUAACCUGCCCAAACUCAAACAAGCUCAAAGCUUUCAUACUUGCUUCAUCAAAAUCAGCUUGAGUCAUGAAUCCACGUUCAACUAUCUGCAAGAAUUAUCAGGAGAAUUAGAAGAAAAACAGACUAUACAAUUGUCGCUGAAAUAUUCUUGUCUUACAGCUAAGCAGAUCACAGAAACAGCAAACUAAUGGCUCUAAAGACUUUUUAUGGUUUCCACAUUUCUUUACUGUAACAGAUUAUUAGACCUCAUUUGGAGAGAUGGGCACAUCAUGAUCCGCUGCCUUAGUUGUUGGUGUAAGUAUAUUAGCUGGAAGCUUCUGGUUUUUUACUAAUCCUGCAUAUUUAGUGAUCAGCAUAUCAAUGAUAUUCUACGAUGCAUUUAAUGAAGAAGACAACUAACAUAUGGCAAUAAAAGAAACUGUACCAUAUGAGAGCUCAUUCCCACAGUAGUUCCGAACACCUUUAUUGUAAACCGUCCAUAAUGACGUGUCAGUACUUCCAGUCACAUAUCCUCUAACUUCAAAAAACAAACAUAAGAGAACAGCUUAGAACUAAAGCAAAUGGAGGCUGCAUAGGGAAGUGUCUGACAAGUUACUCGGUAUAACACACUAACCCACAAACUCUAUGGGAAAAACCGAGCAUUUCUUUGCGAUAACAACAUUUCUAUCAGGAGAUGAAACAAUUGCAUUUGGAGUUAUGUGCUGUGUGUUAUUGAACCACCACAAACUUGUCUCAUUAAGAACCUGAAAGUACCACAAACUUAUUAUUCCUUGCAGUUUGAUCUACAGACCAACGAGAAAAAAUUGUGGGCAACGAUGUAAAGCUAUCUAACUUGAAUAUAGAGCACAAACAUGGAGAAAAACAAACCUGGCCUUUGAAGGGAAUUGAAGCAAGAUUUCUGUCGAAUGCACUCAACCGAUCAGUUGUAAUAAGAACCAGAUAAUCACCAGCAUCAUAAAUAUCUCUGACCUGCAACAUCAAUUUUACAACCUUGAUCAGUUCUGAAUUCUAAAAUCAACAAUUAUGUAGGUUUAGCACAAAAGCUUGGUCUUCUCAUUCAGGUAAGAAACAAAAAGUAAACAUUGCCAACCUUUCCCCUGAUUCUAGAUUUCAGACCAGGAACAGUCUCUAGAAGAUUCGUCUCAGAGAGACAAUUUGACAGCGAGUCUUUGAUUGUGCCAAGAACCUCUCCCUUUCGGUUACUCGUGACUAAAUCAUCAAGAGACAGUUGUGGUCUCCCCUCCUGCUGGUUUUGGGCCUUGCCCUAGCAAGCCAUAACCAAUGAACAGGGUUUUGGGUAUUUCUUGAACUUCGGUAAUGUUCUCAAGAACGAGACUGACGCAAAAGCUGGGGUUUUUACAGACACUGUCCUAGUAACGCUCUUGGGUGUUCUCAAAGGAUCUAGAGUUGACCUCACACACUGAGCCAUACCAGAAACCAUCACUUAACCCCCUGCACCAGAAGCACCAAAAAACUUCAAAUUGGUAUACGAUUUCGAACCUAUAGCCGCCACAAAGGAAAAUUAAGAAGAUAUGAAGGAUUCUAAACGGAACCUAAGAAGUCAGUAUUAUAAUCCAAAUAGACUAAGGAAGAAGAGCAGACUCUAGUAACCACAGCUAAUACAAACCCUGUGAAAAUAUGAGAAUCGAACAUGUGUUAAAGGAAGAAAGCCAAACCUUUUAUCAAAACAAGCUAAAGCCGAAGCGCGACGGAAUAAGAUCUGAUAAACAGAGAGUGACGAUAGAAGCCGGCGGCGAAAAGUAGGGAGAACACUGAGCUCGGAAUCUGCGUUUGCGUUUAAAACCUGAAUGUUUUUCUUUUCAAUCGCUCAUUAAUAUUUAAAUAAGGAAAAUAAAUAUGUAUAACCAGAGAGAAGAAAAAAACACGGCUUUGCCCUCCUCCGCAUCUCCUCUCGGGGUUCAAGAUCCCUCACCUCUGCAUCUUCCAAAAACCAAAAUCUGUGUUUUUUACCUGUAUUCAAACCAAAAGGUUAAACCUUUGCUUGAAGUUUGCGAAACCCUCAAGGGAGAUAGAUGCCAAUUUAGAGAGAAACAGAGAAGCAGAGAGAUAUGGCGAGGCAAGCUGGGAAGCAGAAUUGUGGGAGGGUUGUGUUAGUUUCACUCCUCGCUCUUUUAGCUGCCGGACUUGUUGGAGAUUUCCUUUGGGCUUCUUUUCAUCCUUUCUCCUCCGUUGGGAUGUCUCUUCCCUCCUCCGUUACCACCGUGAUCGGACAACUUCCUCCUAAUAUCAAUGUAACUGGUUCAUUGUUGUCUCAUUGUUGAUGUACCUUCAUUGAAUUGGAUCUCAAAGCAAUAUGCUCAAAUUCUCACUUCUUGCGUCUGCUUUUGGUGCUUUUUUCAGGGCAAAGAUACUGAGAAGAAGAAGAACGAUAAAGUUCGGGAAAGGAAGCUUUCUGCAACGUUUCAAGAUUUGGCUGCUCCUGAGCUUAAAUGGGAGAAGAUGGCAGCUGCUCCUGUGCCUCGUUUAGAUGGAGCUGCAAUUCAGAUUAGGAAUUUUCUAUAUGUGUUUGCUGGAUACGGCACCAUUGAUAUUGUAAGCCUCUUGUAUCCUUCUUUCAGUAGCAUUUGGUAGUUUCUGACCAAUGAUGAGUUGUCUUAUUCUGUGUCUUCGAAAUUCAGGUACAUUCCCAUGUUGAUAUAUACAAUUUUGUAGAUAAUACAUGGGGAGGAAGAUUUGAUAUGCCAAAAGAGAUGACGCAUUCACAUUUAGGUAUGGUAACGGAUGGGAGAUACAUCUACAUUGUCACUGGUCAAUAUGGUCCUCAAUGUAGAGGGCCUACAGCUAAAACAUUUGUGCUCGACACUGAUACAAAUUCCUGGAGUGACUUCGUUUCUUUACCAGUUCCUAGGUAAUUUUGAAACAAGUAGAUUCAAUUUGGAUAAUAUGCUGAUCGGAUUAUUUUAAGGAUUAUGUACCAUUCCUACAAAUGAUAUUUUUGGGUUUGAGAAACGGCAACUUAGCUCGCUUGGAUAUCAUUUUGCUGCUCAAGAUUUGCUGGUGAUGCUAAAUGCUUAAGAGGAACUGAGAGACAAAUUUUGUUUACAUUCAGGUAUGCUCCAGCUACUCAGCUUUGGCGAGGUAGACUCCACGUAAUGGGUGGAAGCAAGGAGAAUAGGCAUACACCAGGGCUUGAACACUGGAGUAUUGCAGUAAAAGAUGGGAAAGCAUUGGAAAAAGAGUGGAGAAGCGAAAUUCCAAUCCCUCGUGGAGGACCUCACAGGUUAUUUUUCACAACUCUGUUGUAGAUGAUCCUUAAGCUACUUCAUACACCUUUCUCCGUUUUAUCUGAGUUUGACUGUUCUCGUUACUGUAGAGCAUGCGUAGUAGUGGAUGACCGGCUUUUUGUCAUUGGAGGUCAGGAAGGUGAUUUCAUGGCUAAACCAGGAUCUCCCAUCUUCAAAUGCUCACGUCGUAUGGAGGUAUAUAAUAGACUACCUGUUCAAUUAAGUAUCAUGACUCCUCCUCUUCCUUGGAUGAAAUUACUCAAGUGUUGCUUUAUUAUGAACAUCAUGUGUCCUUUUUUCACCUUGGUGGCUCAGGUGGUAUUUAGUGAUGUCUACAUGCUGGAUGAGGAAAUGAAGUGGAAAGUCAUGCCAUCGAUGCCAAAACCGGAUUCCCAUAUUGAGUUUGCUUGGAAAGUGGUUAACAACUCCAUUGUAAUCGUCGGAGGCACCACAGAGAAGCAUCCGGAAACGAAAAAGAUGGUCCUUGUUGGUGAAAUCUUCCAGUUCAAUCUGAAUACAAUGGUAAAAACCAAGUGGCCUUCAUGCUUAAAACCUCUCUAUCCUAUUUAAAAGUGUAAACUGUAGCUGGAAAACUUAUUUUCUCUGCAGAAAUGGUAUGUGAUUGGAAAGUUGCCAUACCGUGUGAAUACUACGCUGGUUGGGUAUUGGGAAGGGCAGUUAUACUUUACCUCCGGGCAACGAGACAAAGGGCCAGAUGAUCCCGCACCGCGUAAGGUGCUCGCAGAGAUGUGAAGAACCAAACUGAUACUGAAUCCAUGAAGACAGUCAAAGAAUCAAUCUCCCUUUUGUAAUGGAAAGUAUCAGCAUUCUUUUUGAGUUGAUAGUUUUUUUAGCAUAAUUCAUCCCACUACGCAAACAAUUGCUGUAUCUAUCUUAUAUAUGUUUGACGGAGCAUUUGUAUAUUGUAAACAAAAUCUCUAGAAACGAAACUGUUAUGGUUUGAGAAUUAUGAAUGAGAAAAAGUUUUAGGUCCAAAAACACUCUGCUUAAAGAUGACUUAACCUCUAUAAUUCAUGAAGGGUUGUUGGUAUCUCAAUGAGGUAUCUAUAAAUCAGGGCUAUCUUAUUUUUAUGUAUCUCAAUUAGUAUCAGUUUUCAUUUAGUAAUUCCACAUAAGAGUAUAUUCUCUGUUUACCUAUCUAGAAUUUUGCUAGAGAAGCCAUUUUAUUGAAACAAAAGAGAGACCUUCUUCAGUCCAGCUGGAUCUGGCCCAAAGCUUUCAUGUCCAUCUCUUGCAACCGUAACUAAUUUAUUUAAAAACCCUAGCAUGCUUUAAAGAUGAUGAAGAGGAUGUAUCUUCCGGAAGAUUUGGUAGUGAGGAUACUCUCUAAGGCGAGUGGGAGACGAUUCUUUCAUCUUUGCGUGUACUAUAAUUAUAAUUUUCUUACCUAAGAGUCAAAAACUCAAAAUGACCAAAUCAUGAAAACGUAAAACUUUCGUUUCCUUGCAGUAGAAGCCGUAGGCCUCUCAAGUAGUGGAGGCCCAAAAGCCCAAAUUCAGCUGAAUUUAGGACGUGAAAUCAGUGAGGCACACGUUCAGACAGUUCAAGCGAAUGGAACGUUUUUUCUACUAAAGUAUUCAACCCUAAUCUUUCUAGAAACAGUCACUUUUCCAGAGGCACAAUGCAUCUCCAAGAGGCUUUGGUAGUGGAGAUACUCUCUAGGGUUCCUGCUGUAUCUCUGGCACGGUUGAGAUCGACAUCCAAAAGAUGGAACGCCCUGGUCAAAGAUGGGAGACUUGCUAAGAAACACUCUGCUUAUGCUCCAAGACAGUCUCCUCUGUUUAUCAUGUUGAUUGAUUCUAGGGUUUAUUUAGUGAGCAUUGAUCUCCAUAGAAUUGACAACGACAAGGCUGCUCCAUCUGCAAAGGUAACAAGUCAAUUCAGCCUAAAAGAUCCUCUUUCCAACUCUUCAGAACAAGAAGUUGAUAUAUGUAACGUCUUUCACUGCAACGGCUUGUUGCUAUGCACCACCAGAGACAAUAGGCUAGUUGUUUGGAAUCCAUGUUCUGGUGAAAAAAGGUGGAUCGUCCAACACAGGCUUGGCUACGGGGAAAUCAACCACUAUGCUCUCGGUUACGAUUACCGAUCCUCCUGUUACAAAAUCUUGAGGAUGGGUGGACAUCGUGUCCCCUUUCAAACUAAAUACCAAGUCUAUAACUUUACCUCUGAGUCGUGGAGGGUUGUUGGUGGCACUGUAGACUGUUUCAUACCACGGAUUCAGAGUCUUGGCAUAUCUGUGAUGGGAAAUACUUACUGGCUUGCUUAUUGUCGACAAGAACUAGGUGUUAUCUUACUGUAUUUUGAUUUCUCAACAGAGAGGUUCCAUAGUCUGUCUCUUCCCGAGGAUGCUCCUCGUUCUUAUUUUGAUGUGGCUUUAUCAGUUACUAGAGAAGAGCAACAGCUUUGUUUGCUUGCUGUUUGGAGCCAUGAGGUAUGGAUAGCGACUAAGAUGGAGGGUACCGGAGAUCUUUCAUGGAGCAAGUUCCUAACAGUGUCCAAAUUCGAUCUCCGCAAUCAUUUGCGGUUUUGUAUUGGGAUGAGUUUCUUGGUCGACCAGGAGAACAAAGUGGUAGUGUCUUGUAAUAACUCCGGGUUCUCCAACAACAUUAUACAGAUUGUGGGAAAGAAUACAUACAUACAUGAGGAUCAAAAGGGUGCAAAUUCUCAUGUCACACGUCUCCUCACUUAUGUUCCAGGUUUGGUUCAAAUCCAACAAGGUAUCUAGUUUUUGGAGGAGCUGGUUUGUGCAUUGUUUAGGUUGGUUCUCUCUCUUGAUAAACGCGCAUAGGUAGGCUUCAGAAAAACUAAGCAAUAUGCUUUUUUAAAGCCCAACUCAGCCAGUACACAAAACACAAGUUGUAGUAGUUUAUUUAUAUUCUCUGUUUUUCUAUAUUGUAAACAGGUUAUGUAGCAAGUUCGAGUUACAGCACAUCUUUGGUCACACAUGUUUUUUAAUCAUGAGUUCAUGACCAAUAUGGUUUCUUAUCUGUCUUUUCAUAUGUGUACGAAAAGACAUACUCUUUUAUAAAGAAAAAAGAAAAAAGAAAAAAUUAAGCCUGCAUUAUCAAAAACUAUUAGCUCAGAAGUCGUCUUCGUAGCUUAGCAACACAGAUCACUACAAGUUUUAUUAGCUUCUCAACUCGAGCCAUUUUAUAAUUUGGGAAUGUUCUAGGUCGCUGUUCCACCAUGAAAAGCUCUUCCUCAAACCUAAGACUUGGCGUUAACGCAGCAUGAUGUGGGAUUGUCAACCAUUAAUCCACCAAACACAUAGACUUGCCGUUGAAAGCAACAUGAUCUAAACCCAUAUUAGAAUCAUGUGACGCUUUGCAAACAGAAACAUGAAUAAGGAUAAGUUUUUUUUAGGUCUCAAAAUCCUAACUUCUGAAAACAGUCUACUUUAAAGAUGAUGAAGUAAGAGUAACACAGAUAGUCAUCUUCCCGAUGAUUUGGAAGAUGAGAUACUCUCUAAGGUUCCGGCUAUACCUCUGGCACGACUACGAACUACACCCAAAGGAUGGAACGCUCUGGUUAAGGAUGAGAGACUUGCUAAGAAGCAUUUAGCUUAUGCUCCAAGGCAGUCUCUGAUUAUCAUGUUGAUUGAUUUUCGGGUUCACUUAGUGAAUGUCAGUCUUCAUAAUGGAAUUGAAAAGGCUGAUCUAUCUGCAAAGGUAACAGCUCAGUCCAGCCUAAACGCCCAAAAUAUUUAUUAGAAAACUCUGAUUAAAACCUCAUAUUCCAAAUUGUAGUUUCUUAUCCCCUAAUUUUUUGUUUUUUUCUACAAAAAGGGGGGCCAAAACAUAGAAAACUACAAAAUUUGACGCGGAGACGUGGCGUAUAUAUGAAGGGAAAUGCUCUUACUCAAGACGAACAGCCUUUUAAUCAGUUCUUGUUAUGUUUUGAUUUAUCAACUGACGGAUUCCGAAGUCUGUCUCUUCCGACGGAUGCUCCUCGUUCUUAUUAUGAUGUGUCUUUGUCAGUGACUAGAGAAGAGCAACAACUUUGAAUGCCAACUAAAUUAUAUUGUAUUCAGCUUAGGAUGGCACUCUCUUGUUAAACGAGCAUCUAUAGACUUAAUCCCCAGUAAACAUCUUAAUCCUCUUCCCUCAAAACAAAACUAUUUUGGUGGUGGUGAGGCAUUAAACGCCCUAAAUAUUUAGUAGAAAACUCUGAUUAAAACCUCAUAUUCCAAAUUGUAGUUUCAUAAGCUGAGAGGCACUGUGCAUGACCAUGAAAGCUUUUAAUAUUAAGCUGACAGAACUGUUUUAUGCAAUGUUAUUUACCUGGGCACCUUGACGAACUCUUACAUCUAUCCCUUUGCUAUCUAUCGAAAUGAGAGCAGCAUCGUCUACCUCUGAUUCAGUAGAUAGUAGCUCUCUAAGCGGUUUCGAGAAGAUGGCAUUUAGUUCCUAACAGAAGUUAUAGGGAAAGUUAGUUUAGAGCAUACUCAAAUCAUUCCAGUUUCCAGGGAUUACUGGAGUCUCUUGAGGCAACCAAAAGGGAUCAGGAAUAACGCACCUUGAGGGUCUGCUCACCACCAUCAACAGCUAUUUUAUCUGGCUGUAAAGCUUCAUACUCUUUGACAUCAACCCAAGCCACAGUGCCAAAGCCUCCAAUGAAAUAUAUAUCACUGCCAAUUGUCACAUUGAGAAUGGAGUCGAUAAGUGACAGGAGACAAACAAUCAUCCUACAUGUAUUGGUAAUUUAGAAGGCACAAGUUUUGAAACAAACCUUAUGUUCUGCAUUCUAAAAUAGUGAAAGUUUNNNNNNNNNNNNNNNNNNNNNNNNNNNNNNNNNNNNNNNNNNNNNNNNNNNNNNNNNNNNNNNNNNNNNNNNNNNNNNNNNNNNNNNNNNNNNNNNNNNNGAAAUAUUACGACCCAAACUCAAGAUAGAUUCAUGUAUAGACAACCAUGAAUUGAAAAAAAGGCAAAAAGUAGCCAGACACCUACCUGCUCAUCUUCUGACAAUGGGUAAACAUCACCAAAUAAUGUCACUCUUGCCUUCGAUAAGCCACUCCAUCCGGGCAUCUGCCAGACAAAUAUCCAGUUACAGAACAAAAAGGGAAAACCUUUUGCUUAGUUAAAACACUAAAGCCAAUGUUACCUGGACAACGAGACUGCAUCUAGGUUCAGCCAACAAGUUUCGUGUAUGGAUGGCCAGCGGUGAAAAUAGAAAUAUUGGAUCUGAUAACAAAAAGUACGCCAUUCAAGAAAUGAGCAUAUCUCAGCCAGUAAACUCAAGACAUUAAUUGUACCAUUAUAAAUUCAGCAUUGAUAUUCAUACUAUCUAGACCCAAAAACACUCCUACAUGUACAUCAUUAAUGAGAUAAAAGAAAAAGAGGGAAAAACAAUAUUGAGCUCUCACUUCCUACUAUUCGUCCCCACAAAAUCCAAAUUAAGUUGAAGUUUUUACAGUGGGAGUUAGAGACAUAGGAACCAAAUGUCCACAAGUAUAUUCUAUAGAAAAACAGAGAGUGCAACGACAAGACGGGACAAGACGGUAGAAUUACGAACAGUCAACAAGAAAGAAAGGCUCAGUAACUUACGCCCCAUCCGAUCAGGCGCAAAAUCUACCAAUGAGCCAAAUGGGUACCCUUCCCUGCGGUGGUGCAUUUUGGACAUCACUGUGCAUAGAUGAGCAAACCUAGCCUUGAAUCAUACCAAUAAAAAAGACCAGAGACAAAAAAGUUUAUCAUCUAUCUUCAUGAAGUGAAAGUAACUAUACAACAGUCUAAAGAACAAACCCAUUUACCUGUUCCAACAAGUUCCGUACGGCUAAAGCAGGGCGAGGUAACGCAUUAGCUGAUGUUGCAUUUUGAACUCCACCAGAUAUUGGAGUUCUAAAAAGCCCAGCUCGAUUUCCUCCACCACCCUGGUGAUGUGUAAGAGCAUCCACAUCGAUUACACAACUUUCACCAAUGAGAUUACUCCCGAGAUUUUCCUUCAAACAACAUUAAAAGCUAUUAAUAUAUAUAUGCCAAAGCAAACGAUCCCGUAAACUAUCUACUUCAAACUCAUAUUUGCACUAAUCUCAAGAUUCGAUUCUACACAUACUCUGCAUUAAAACCAAAGUUUUGUAGACAAAAUUGUAACCUUUUGCUGAAUUAUUGCAUACCCACAACAAAAGUUAUAAUCUUUAGUGGUCAUCACAAGACAAAGAGAGAGAAAAAGAGUACCUGUGAUAAAGAGAAAACACCCCCAGAGAAAAAAUCAAACCCACUACUCUCAGCCAUAUUGUCUUCGCCUUCACUUGGUGUCUCGUUACGUAAGAGAGCUUGUACACGAAGCCCGUGACUUGAUCCAUUACUGAUUCUCAGCUUCGAGAAUUGCUUUUUGGGUAGCGAACUACACAACCAGCACGAAGAAGACUGGGAAGAAGUGGGCAGCGAAGAUUUGAGGAGAGGCCUCGUCUGUAAAUUGGGGAUGUGUGUUGAAGUAAAGAGAGCUUCCAUGGUGAGAUUUCAAUACAGAGGAGAAUAAGAUUGUAGCUUGAAGAGUCCGAUCUUUCACUAUGCCUCAGAUGCUUCUUCAGUCGAUUUUGUUGAAAGGACAGCUUUAGGAAUUUAGGACUUUUCCAGAGUAGGGUUUGUAAACGCACCACCUCAAUAUAAAGGGUUUUUUUUUCUUUUUUUUUUGUGUGUAAAAGAUAAAGAUUAGAGAAAUUAAUUACCUUAGGAAUUACUCUUAAUCCUUUGUUGUUGAUAAUAAUGAAUCUUAUUUGAAACAAGAACAAAAUAGUUUCUUUUUAAUUUAUAAAAUCUGUGUGAUAAUAACAUAAAUAUUAAUUUUCUUUUGUUUUUUAAAAAACGUUAGAUAACGAAAUUUGAAUCGUUUAAGUAGAAAGUACAAAUUGAUUUUAAACGUUUUUAGUUCAUCACUUUAAGACCAUUUUAGACGUUGAAAAAAAAAGAGAAAUCAACAAGUUAAUUAUGACACAAACUUCAAACUAAUCACUAAACCACUAAAAUAAAGGGAAUUUUGUCUUUUAUGCCAGUUUUUAAACUCAAUCUUCUCUAAAUGCCAUUUUUGAAAACUCGUUUCAAAUCCUGACACAAAAAGUUUAGUAUGUACGAUUUUGUCCUCAGGCAAAUGUUUUGAAAAAACAGAAUCAAAAUAAAAAAGAAAUCUUAUCCACAAGAUCUGGUCCAUUAUAUCUAGUCCACUAGAUUUGAUCCGACAUAACUAUUUCGAGUCUAAUCCACCAAAAUUGGUUCGUCGAAUGUUGUCCAUCUAUAGAGAAAUGAAUCUUGUUCACCAUAAACGCAUCACUUGUUUUAUCAUCUGGUCCGUCGAAUCAGAUCCACUUGAAUCAAAUCCUGCCACAACUUGUCCAUCGUAACUGGUCUAUCUGGUCCGCUGAAACUGGUUAUAUUUCGUCGGAACUGUCUAUGGUACACUUGAACUGGUCUGCCAAAUCUUGUCUAUCGGAACUCGUCUAUUUGGUCUGUCAGAACUGGUCCGUCGAAUUUGGUCUGCGAGAACUGGUUAUAGUCACCAGAACUCACUAUGGUCUGCCGGAACUCGUCCGCCGGAGUUCUGGUCGAAACUCGUCCGCCGAAGUUCUGGUCGAAACUCGUCCGCCGAAGUUCUGGUUUAUUGGAACUGGUCCGCCGGAAUUAGUCCGAUGGAUCUGGUCUGCCAGAAUUAGUUCGCUGGAUCUGGUCCAUCAGAAUUAGUCCACUGGAUCUGGUCCGCCGAAUUUCAUCUGCUGGAUCUGGUCCUCCGGAAUUCGUCUGAGUUUGUCCGUCGGAUUUGUCUGUCGGAUUUGUCCACCGGAGUUUGUCCGUCGGAUCUGUUCAACUGGAACUAUUUGUUGUUGGAAGAAGAAAAAGAAGAUGAAGAAGACAGAGAUAAUGAAAGAAAAGAAAAAGGGUAACAUGGUCUUUUUACAUUGGAUCUAUGGCAUGUUUUGAAAGGAGUUAUGAAAAAUGGCAUUUUAAAGAAGAUUUGGUAAUGUACAUGGUAUUCCCCACAAUUUUCUCUAAAAUAAAUGUCCUAAUUUGCAAAAUACGGAAAUUUUGUUCAAACGUUGUCGUUUUCAGCCCAUCCUUCCUCCGAAUCCACGCGCCACCGUCUAAGCUGUAGCGUCAUCGCACGCGCCAUUUUGCUUUCAACCGCUCGAAUCAUCCCAGCUGCAACCCCGGUCACAUCUUCCACUUUCUUCAAACUCUGCCACGUCAUCGUGUUCUUGACGCCGAACCAAAACGCCGACGCUAAGACCACUCUGUUCGUCGCUCUCGGUCUCGGCCUCAUCUCCACAGGCAAAGCGAGAGACGCAUACGAAACGACGACGUUUGUUAAAUCUCUGUUUAGUUCUAAUUUAUCGCACCACUUCACAAAAACGCCAUCCGCGACCGUAACAGCAGCAACUGCCUUCUUAUUAGCCUUCGCUAUGCUCUGUUCCCCUCCUCGCUCUGCUCUGUUUACGCCACGCGUCGUCGGCGACAGCUCGGAGCUCGAGACACGAUCGAAAGAAGAGCAGCAAGAAGAAGAUUUCCCCAGGUAAUGGUGAUUCAGGACAUUUUCAGGCUGAAGCAAAUCGAGCAUUUCUGAGUGAUACGGACCAUAACAGCAGCCACGAACAUGGUUACAAUAACUAUUUCAACAAAGGGUAUGGCUACUAAGAUCAUUUCAGGGCUUUUAAGUAUUUUCUGUAGAAUUAUACAUCCACUCUUAUCCGUGCUUUUAUUAUUUUUGCUCAAGGCAAGAGACAAGUCUCGAGAACGCUCUGCCUGAUAGCUUCUUCGCUUCUCCAUCGAAGACCGGUGAAACCCAAGACCCCGAGUUUGAGAAAGAAAAUUGUGCUACUCUCUCUGUUACUACAGAAAAUAAGGCAGCAUCCUCACUUCAAUCAGCCUAGCAAUUGGUAAGUUCAAAAUUUCUCCUAAUUCAGUCCCAUUAUCGCAUAGCUAUUGUUAACACUUGUUAAUACCUCUUACUGGAAGUUUCCAGGUUCUAUAGAAGCAGAAAGAAAGCGUGAAAAGGUAGACACUUUAAGCCAGACUGCAACUUGUAGGUUCUCCAAAAUUUAAUUGGUAUUAACUACAUGAUUUUAAUUUAUUUGGUUGCAGAAAAGUAGAGACUGAUAAAAGCAGGAAGUAGAAGAAUUUUGUUUAUAUGUAGAAGGUAAAGCCGGUUUUAUAACAUGGAACAGAAAGAAGGGUAAAGAGACAAGUUUGGAUAUUACAUAUCUCCAAAAAGGCAGUUGUGGGAUGCCAAUCUGCAAUAGAAAUUACAGCUAAGUACUAACCUCGACAAAGCAUUGAUAGGCAGGACAAUAUAGUGACUGAAACCUUCAAGUUUUAAGUUUUCGUCUGUUCAUCGGUAAUUGUUACCUUCUUAUCGGGUCAUAAACCCUGGUUCUGGACAAAGCUAC
Molecule: long non-coding RNA, 14375 nt
Filed under: Capsella rubella
Lineage: Eukaryota; Viridiplantae; Streptophyta; Magnoliopsida; Brassicales; Brassicaceae
Description: long non-coding RNA (CRUB_LNC003700)
Source: RNAcentral